UUCACCAUGUUGGCCAGGCUGGUCUUGAACUCCUGGCCUCAGGUGAUCCGUCCUCCUCGGCCUCUCAAAAUGCUGGGAUUACAAGCAUGAGGCAUUGCUCCUGGCUCUGAUUUUUUAAAUCUAAUUUAGCAUUAGAACCUAGUGUCACAGGGAUGGGUGUUAACACAUGUACUUGAAUAGAAAAAUUUCAGGGCUGGACGUGGUGACUCAUGCUGUAAUCCCAGCACUUUGGGAGGCUGAGAUGGGAGAAUUGCUUGAGUCUGAGAGUUUGAGAUCAGCCUGGGCAACACGGUAAAACCUGGCCUCUAUAAAAAAUACAAUAACAGGGCAUGGUGGCAUGUGCUUGUAGUCCCAGCUAUUUGUGGGACUGAAGCGAUGGCUUGAGCCUGGGAGCUCCAGGCUGCAGUGAGCAGAGAUCACACCACUGCAUUCCAGCCUGGGCAACAAAGACCCUGUCUCAAAAAACAAAACAAACAAACAAAAAAACCCAAAAAUGUAUAUAUAUAUGUAUACAUAUAUGUAUGUGUGUAUAUAUAUUUCAAAUACAUAACAUAAAAGCACC
Molecule: long non-coding RNA, 562 nt
Filed under: Homo sapiens (human)
Lineage: Eukaryota; Metazoa; Chordata; Mammalia; Primates; Hominidae
Description: HSALNT0239282
Source: RNAcentral